RNAcentral lists this unclassified non-coding RNA (214 nucleotides) under Phylloporus sp. Its description in RNAcentral is "partial contains small subunit ribosomal RNA, internal transcribed spacer 1, and 5.8S ribosomal RNA". The stretch from base 1 to 46 matches the Rfam family "Eukaryotic small subunit ribosomal RNA", at positions 1786 to 1831 of the family's 1831-position model. The record is from RNAcentral. Lineage: Eukaryota; Fungi; Basidiomycota; Agaricomycetes; Boletales; Boletaceae.
AAGUCGUAACAAGGUUUCCGUAGGUGAACCUGCGGAAGGAUCAUUAACAAAUCGUGGCAGCCUUUGGGCUGCACAUAAACCCGCGGUCUCACGGCCGCAGCGGUGGCGGUGAGUGUCCCUCGGGGCGCGCACCGCUAAUAUUGGCGCUUGAUUGUUUGUCUGUGCUCGAGAUACAUAAUAUAAACAACUUUUAACAAUGGAUCUCUUGGCUCUU